This 243-nucleotide ribosomal RNA is filed under the name uncultured bacterium. Its description in RNAcentral is "partial 16S ribosomal RNA". It matches the Rfam family "Bacterial small subunit ribosomal RNA", at positions 89 to 334 of the family's 1533-position model. The record is from RNAcentral.
UGGCGACCGGCGCACGGGUGCGUAACGCGUAUGCAACCUACCCAUAACAGGGGGAUAACACUGAGAAAUUGGUACUAAUACCCCAUAACAUCAGGACCGGCAUCGGUUCUGGUUGAAAACUCCGGUGGUUAUGGAUGGGCAUGCGUUGUAUUAGCUGGUUGGUGAGGUAACGGCUCACCAAGGCAACGAUACAUAGGGGGACUGAGAGGUUAACCCCCCACAUUGGUACUGAGACACGGCCAA